This 445-nucleotide ribosomal RNA is filed under the name uncultured bacterium. RNAcentral describes it as "partial 16S ribosomal RNA". It matches the Rfam family "Bacterial small subunit ribosomal RNA", at positions 330 to 792 of the family's 1533-position model. The record is from RNAcentral.
GCCAGACUCCUACGGGAGGCAGCAGUGGGGAAUAUUGCACAAUGGGGGAAACCCUGAUGCAGCAACGCCGCGUGAGUGAAGAAGUAUUUCGGUAUGUAAAGCUCUAUCAGCAGGGAGGAAGAUGACGGUACCUGAUUAAGAAGCCCCGGCUAACUACGUGCCAGCAGCCGCGGUAAUACGUAGGGGGCAAGCGUUAUCCGGAUUUACUGGGUGUAAAGGGAGCGCAGACGGCAGCGCAAGCCAGGAGUGAAAGCCCGGGGCCCAACCCCGGGACUGCUCUUGGAACUGCGCGGCUGGAGUGCAGGAGGGGCAGGCGGAAUUCCUGGUGUAGCGGUGAAAUGCGUAGAUAUCAGGAGGAACACCGGUGGCGAAGGCGGCCUGCUGGACUGCGACUGACGUUGAGGCCCGAAAGCGUGGGGAGCAAACAGGAUUAGAUACCCCUGUA